RNAcentral lists this ribosomal RNA (223 nucleotides) under uncultured bacterium. Its description in RNAcentral is "partial 16S ribosomal RNA". It matches the Rfam family "Bacterial small subunit ribosomal RNA", at positions 111 to 334 of the family's 1533-position model. The record is from RNAcentral.
UAACGCGUGGGUAGCCUGCCUCACACAGGGGGAUAACAGUUAGAAAUGACUGCUAAUACCGCAUAACCCGAUAGGAUCGCAUGAUCCAGACGGAAAAGAUUUAUCGGUGUGAGAUGGACCCGCGUCUGAUUAGCUAGUUGGUGAGGUAACGGCCCACCAAGGCGACGAUCAGUAGCCGGCCUGAGAGGGUGAACGGCCACAUUGGGACUGAGACACGGCCCAA